Molecule: ribosomal RNA, 465 nt
Filed under: uncultured bacterium
Lineage: Bacteria
Description: partial 16S ribosomal RNA
Rfam family: Bacterial small subunit ribosomal RNA
Source: RNAcentral
CCUACGGGCGACAGCAGUAGGGAAUCUUCGGCAAUGGGCGAAAGCCUGACCGAGCAACGCCGCGUGAAUGAAGAAGGCCUUCGGGUUGUAAAAUUCUGUUAUAAGGGAAGAAAGGUGAUAGGAGGAAAUGACUAUCAAUUGACGGUACCUUAUGAGAAAGCCACGGCUAACUACGUGCCAGCAGCCGCGGUAAUACGUAGGUGGCAAGCGUUAUCCGGAUUGAUUGGGAGUAAAGAGCGCGCAGGUGGUUAAUUAAGUCUGAUGUGAAAGCCCGCGGCUUAACCGUGGAGUGUCAUUGGAAACUGGUUGACUUGAGUGCAGAAGAGGGGAGGGGAAUUCCAUGUGUAGCGGUGAAAUGCGUAGAGAUAUGGAAGAACCCCAGUUGCGAAGGCAGCUUCCUGGUCUGCAACUGACACUGAGGCGCGAAAGCGUGGGGAGCAAACAGGAUUAGAUACCCCGGUAGUC